Molecule: ribosomal RNA, 368 nt
Filed under: uncultured organism
Description: bacterial LSU rRNA
Rfam family: Bacterial large subunit ribosomal RNA
Source: RNAcentral
CUUUACUGUACUCUGUUAUUGGCUUUUGACAAUUCAUGUGUAGCAUAGCUGGGAGCCAGCGAAGUUCCGACGCAAGUCGGGAUGGAGGCAUCAGUGAAAUACCAGUCUUGAGUUGUCGGAAUUCUAACCAUCACCCGUGAAUCCGGGUAUGGGACAGUGACAGACGGUCAGUUUGACUGGGGCGGUUCCCUCCCAAAUUGUAACGGAGGGGCACGAAGGUUCUCUCAGCACGGUCAGCAAUCGUGCGUAGAGCGUAUAGGUACAAGAGAGCUUAACUGCGAGACCUACAAGUCGAGCAGGUGCGAAAGCAGGUCUAAGUGAUCCGGUGGUAGCUAGUGGUAGCGCCAUCGCUCAACGGAUAAAAGGUA